UGAGGAAUAUUCCACAAUGGGCGAAAGCCUGAUGGAGCGACGCCGCGUGCGGGAAGAAGCCUUUCGGGGUGUAAACCGCUUUUCUCUGGGAUGACACGCUUCCGUAAGGGAGCUAGGACAGUACCAGAGGAAUAAGCAUCGGCUAACUACGUGCCAGCAGCCGCGGUAAUACGUAGGAUGCUAGCGUUGUCCGGAUUUACUGGGCGUAAAGCGCGCGCAGGCGGCACCUCAAGUACUCUCUGAAAUCCACCUGCUCAACGGGUGGGGUGGAGAGUAGACUGAGGAGCUAGAGAGAGGUAGAGGGGGGUAGAAUUGCUGGUGUAGCGGUGAAAUGCGUAGAGAUCAGCAGGAAUACCCGUGGCGAAGGCGGCCCCCUGGGCCUCUUCUGACGCCGAGGCGCGAAGGCUGGGGGAGCGAACGGGAUUAGAUACCCCGGUAGUCCCAGCAGUAAACGAUGACCACUAGGUGUGGGGGGUGUUGACCCCUUCGUGCCGAAGCCAACG
This 503-nucleotide ribosomal RNA is filed under the name uncultured bacterium. RNAcentral's name for it is "bacterial SSU rRNA". It matches the Rfam family "Bacterial small subunit ribosomal RNA", at positions 355 to 857 of the family's 1533-position model. The record is from RNAcentral.